UUUAUGGGGUGAGUUCCUCUCUUUACAU
Molecule: transfer RNA, 28 nt
Filed under: Tympanocryptis tetraporophora
Lineage: Eukaryota; Metazoa; Chordata; Lepidosauria; Squamata; Agamidae
Description: partial tRNA-Tyr
Source: RNAcentral